Molecule: transfer RNA, 56 nt
Filed under: Ovis aries (sheep)
Lineage: Eukaryota; Metazoa; Chordata; Mammalia; Artiodactyla; Bovidae
Rfam family: tRNA
About the family: Transfer RNA (tRNA) molecules are approximately 80 nucleotides in length. Their secondary structure includes four short double-helical elements and three loops (D, anti-codon, and T loops).
Source: Rfam by way of RNAcentral
UGGCUUAGAGGUUAAAGCAUCUGCCUGCAGUGCAGGAGACCUGGAUUCAAUCCCGG